UUGCCGGCGAGCGGCGGACGGGUGAGUAAUGCAUAGGAAUCUGCCCAAUAGUGGGGGAUAACGUGGGGAAACCCACGCUAAUACCGCAUACGUCCUACGGGAGAAAGGGGGCUUUUUAGCUCUCGCUAUUGGAUGAGCCUAUGUUGGAUUAGCUAGUUGGUGAGGUAAUGGCUCACCAAGGCGACGAUCCAUAGCUGGUCUGAGAGGAUGAUCAGCCACACUGGGACUGAGACACGGCCCAG
Molecule: ribosomal RNA, 242 nt
Filed under: uncultured bacterium
Lineage: Bacteria
Description: partial 16S ribosomal RNA
Rfam family: Bacterial small subunit ribosomal RNA
Source: RNAcentral